CACCGCGGUUAUACGAGAGGCCCAAGUUGAUGAAUUACGGCGUAAAGAGUGGUUAAGCUAAAAUUAAAACUAAAGCCGAACACCCCCAAAGCUGUUAUACGCAUCCGGAGGUGAGAAGUUCAACCACGAAGGUGGCUUUAUCUAACCUGAACCCACGAAAGCUACGGCA
This 169-nucleotide ribosomal RNA is filed under the name Gasterosteus aculeatus (three-spined stickleback). RNAcentral's name for it is "partial small subunit ribosomal RNA". The record is from RNAcentral. Lineage: Eukaryota; Metazoa; Chordata; Actinopteri; Perciformes; Gasterosteidae. RNAcentral also lists the same sequence under 1 other name.